UACGUAGGACGCAAGCGUUGUCCGGAAUUAUUGGGCGUAAAGAGCUCGUAGGCGGUUUGUCGCGUCGGGAGUGAAAACUCAGGGCUCAACCCUGAGCGUGCUUCCGAGUACGGGCAGACUAGAGGUAUGCAGGGGAGAACGGAAUUCCUGGUGUAGCGGUGGAAUGCGCAGAUAUCAGGAGGAACACCGGUGGCGAAGGCGGGUCUCUGGGCCGAUACUGAC
This 222-nucleotide ribosomal RNA is filed under the name uncultured bacterium. Its description in RNAcentral is "partial 16S ribosomal RNA". It matches the Rfam family "Bacterial small subunit ribosomal RNA", at positions 524 to 744 of the family's 1533-position model. The record is from RNAcentral.